AUAACCUGCCUCACACAGGGGGAUAACAGUUAGAAAUGACUGCUAAUACCGCAUAAGCGCACAGUCUCGCAUGGGACAGUGUGAAAAACUGAGGUGGUGUGAGAUGGAUCCGCGUCUGAUUAGGCAGUUGGCGGGGUAACGGCCCACCAAACCAACGAUCAGUAGCCGGCCUGAGAGGGUGAACGGCCACAUUGGGACUGAGACACGGCCCAAACUCCUACGGGAGGCAGCAGUGGGGAAUAUUGCACAAUGGGGGAAACCCUGAUGCAGCGACGCCGCGUGAAGGAAGAAGUAUUUCGGUAUGUAAACUUCUAUCAGCAGGGAAGAAAGUGACGGUACCUGACUAAGAAGCCCCGGCUAACUACGUGCCAGCAGCCGCGGUAAUACGUAGGGGGCAAGCGUUAUCCGGAUUUACUGGGUGUAAAGGGAGCGUAGGCGGCGAUGCAAGUCAGAAGUGAAAGCCCGGGGCUCAACUCCGGGACUGCUUUUGAAACUGUAUGGCUAGAUUGCAGGAGAGGCAAGUGGAAUUCCUAGUGUAGCGGUGAAAUGCGUAGAUAUUAGGAGGAACACCAGUGGCGAAGGCGGCUUGCUGGACUGUAAAUGACGCUGAGGCUCGAAAGCGUGGGGAGCAAACAGGAUUAGAUAUCCUGGUAGUCCACGCCGUAAACGAUGUAUACCAGGUGU
This 684-nucleotide ribosomal RNA is filed under the name uncultured bacterium. RNAcentral's name for it is "bacterial SSU rRNA". It matches the Rfam family "Bacterial small subunit ribosomal RNA", at positions 121 to 823 of the family's 1533-position model. The record is from RNAcentral.